RNAcentral lists this transfer RNA (74 nucleotides) under Raphidocelis subcapitata. RNAcentral's name for it is "tRNA-Pro". It matches the Rfam family "tRNA". Rfam says of the family: Transfer RNA (tRNA) molecules are approximately 80 nucleotides in length. Their secondary structure includes four short double-helical elements and three loops (D, anti-codon, and T loops). Lineage: Eukaryota; Viridiplantae; Chlorophyta; Chlorophyceae; Sphaeropleales; Selenastraceae. The record is from RNAcentral.
CAGGGCAUAGCGCAGCUUGGUAGCGCGGCGGUUUUGGGAACCGCAGGUCGCAGGUUCAAAUCCUGCUGCUCUGA